This 486-nucleotide ribosomal RNA is filed under the name uncultured bacterium. RNAcentral describes it as "bacterial SSU rRNA". It matches the Rfam family "Bacterial small subunit ribosomal RNA", at positions 899 to 1397 of the family's 1533-position model. The record is from RNAcentral.
ACUCAAAGGAAUUGACGGGGGCCCGCACAAGCAGCGGAGCGUGUGGUUUAAUUCGAUGAUACACGAAGAACCUUACCAGGGUUUGACAUACAGGUGGUAGAGAAGCGAAAGUGGAACGACCCUUCGGGGAGCCUGAACAGGUGCUGCAUGGCUGUCGUCAGCUCGUGUCGUGAGAUGUUCGGUUAAGUCCGCUAACGAGCGCAACCCUUGUUGUGUGUUACACGUAUCACACGAGACCGCCGGUAGAAAGCCGGAGGAAGGUAGGGAUGACGUCAAGUCAGCAUGGCCUAUAUAUCCUGGGCUACACACACGCUACAAUGAUCGAUACAAUGGGUAGCCAAGCCGCGAGGCGGAGCCAAUCCUAAAAAGUCGGUCUCAGUUCAGAUUGCAGGCUGCAACUCGCCUGCAUGAAGAUGGAGUUGCUAGUAACCGCAGGUCAGCGAUACUGCGGUGAAUACGUUCCCGGGCCUUGUACACACCGCCCGU